UAUCGGUAAUGUAAUGCGACGGGUUGC
Molecule: small RNA, 27 nt
Filed under: Bombyx mori (domestic silkworm)
Lineage: Eukaryota; Metazoa; Arthropoda; Insecta; Lepidoptera; Bombycidae
Description: ovarian small RNA-23695
Source: RNAcentral